This is a non-coding RNA of Cinara cedri, 732 nucleotides long. The record is from the annotation of a GenBank genome assembly. NCBI's taxonomy places the organism in Eukaryota, Metazoa, Arthropoda, Insecta, Hemiptera, Aphididae.
AACCGUUUUCAUUUGCUACAGGGUAAUAUUAAAUUCUAUAUAAAAAUAAUAAUAAUUAUUAUAUUUUGAGUAUCUAAAUAUUCUUUCUCGUCUACGGAACGACGAAAUAUUAUAAGUACUCGUAAUUGUUAUGUUUUCAAUUAACAUUUUAUUAAAUGUUUAUCAAGCAACAAUUUCAUACUAAAAACUGAACGCAUGGCAGUGUGACAGGUGAAGUUACAAUAAGCCUACAAGCAUGCCAGUGUAUUUUUACACGAAACAAUUCGCCUUGUUCUUGUAGUUAUCAUAUCUCAGUUUCUUCUUAAUAUAGGUUUCUUUAAAUUUUUAAAAUAGAUUAUACUUAAGUAGUUAAGUACACUGUAAAAAUUAAAUCUUUAAUAUUAAGCAUUUUCAAAAGGGAAUCUUUUUAAAGUUGGCAUCAUCUACAUGAUAAGCCACUUCUCGUUGGUAGAAAGGUAGUGUAAGUAAAGGGAAAAUUUGAAAAUUGUAAUUUUUCCAAAUUAGAGUUACUUUAGGUUGGGCAGUUCUAAAUGCAUGACGUGCAAAUUCAAAAAAAUAAAUAAUUAAGCUUUUAUUAAAACUUUUCAUGUUCAAAUCGAAAUUAAGGUUCUGAAAUAAGUUUUAAAUUUUGUCUAAGUUCAAUCUAAGUUCAAUCUCUUAAUUAAAAAGAGUUUUAUGACUAAUUGCAGAUUCCUGUACAAUGUGCUGUCGAAACAAAUUACUUUUUUUGGU